Molecule: ribosomal RNA, 754 nt
Filed under: uncultured Glomus
Lineage: Eukaryota; Fungi; Glomeromycota; Glomeromycetes; Glomerales; Glomeraceae
Description: SSU rRNA
Rfam family: Eukaryotic small subunit ribosomal RNA
Source: RNAcentral
GGCCUACCAUGGUGGUAACGGGUAACGGGGUGUUAGGGCACGACACCGGAGAGGGAGCCUGAGAAACGGCUACCACAUCCAAGGAUGGCAGCAGGCGCGCAAAUUACCCAAUCCCGACACGGGGAGGUAGUGACAAUAAAUAACAAUACGGGGUUCUUUCGGAUCUCGUAAUUGGAAUGAGUACAAUUUAAAUCUCUUAACGAGGAACAAUUGGAGGGCAAGUCUGGUGCCAGCAGCCGCGGUAAUUCCAGCUCCAAUAGCGUAUAUUAAAGUUGUUGCAGUUAAAAAGCUCGUAGUUGAAUUUCGGGGUCAGCAGGUUGGUCGUGCCAAUGGUAUGAACUGGCCUUGCUGAUUCCUCCCUCUUGAUGAGCCGUAAUGCCAUUAAUUUGGUGUUGCGGGGAAUCAGGACUGUUACUUUGAAAAAAUUAGAGUGUUUAAAGCAGGCAAGCGCUUGAAUACAUUAGCAUGGAAUAAUGAAAUAGGACGUUUGAUCCUAUUUUGUUGGUUUCUAGGAUUGACGUAAUGAUUAAUAGGGAUAGUUGGGGGCAUUAGUAUUCAAUUGUCAGAGGUGAAAUUCUUGGAUUUAUUGAAGACUAACUACUGCGAAAGCAUUUGCCAAGGAUGUUUUCAUUAAUCAAGAACGAAAGUUAGGGGAUCGAAGACGAUCAGAUACCGUCGUAGUCUUAACCAUAAACUAUGCCGACUAGGGAUCGGAUGAUGUUAAAUUUUUUAAUGACUCAUUCGGCGCCUUACG